RNAcentral lists this ribosomal RNA (305 nucleotides) under uncultured bacterium. RNAcentral describes it as "bacterial SSU rRNA". It matches the Rfam family "Bacterial small subunit ribosomal RNA", at positions 335 to 637 of the family's 1533-position model. The record is from RNAcentral.
GUACCUACGGGGGGCAGCAGUGAGGAAUAUUGAUCAAUGGGAGGAAUCCUGAACCAGCCAUGCCGCGUGCAGGACGACGGCUCUACGAGUUGUAAACUGCUUUUGUACCGGGGUAAAAUGCCUUACGAGUAGGGUUUUGAAAGUACGGUACGAAUAAGGAUCGGCUAACUCCGUGCCAGCAGCCGCGGUAAUACGGAGGAUCCGAGCGUUAUCCGGAUUCAUUGGGUGUAAAGGGAGCGUAGACGGCGACGCAAGUCUGGAGUGAAAGCCCGGGGCCCAACCCCGGGACUGCUCUGGAAACUGCG